RNAcentral lists this ribosomal RNA (459 nucleotides) under uncultured bacterium. RNAcentral's name for it is "partial 16S ribosomal RNA". It matches the Rfam family "Bacterial small subunit ribosomal RNA", at positions 338 to 795 of the family's 1533-position model. The record is from RNAcentral.
CCUACGGGAGGCAGCAGUGAGGAAUAUUGGUCAAUGGGAGAGAUCCUGAACCAGCCAAGCCGCGUGAGGGAAGACGGCCCUAUGGGUUGUAAACCUCUUUUGUCGGAGAACAAAACCCGGGACGUGUCCCGGACUGCGUGUAUCCGAAGAAAAAGCAUCGGCUAACUCCGUGCCAGCAGCCGCGGUAAUACGGAGGGUGCGAGCGUUAUCCGGAUUUAUUGGGUUUAAAGGGUGCGUAGGCGGUCCGUUAAGUCAGCGGUAAAAGUGCGGGGCUCAACCCCGUCGAGCCGUUGAAACUGGCAGGCUUGAGUGGGCGAGAAGUAGGAGGAAUGCGCGGUGUAGCGGUGAAAUGCAUAGAUAUCGCGCAGAACUCCGAUUGCGAAGGCAGCGUACCGGCGCCAGACUGACGCUGAGGCACGAAAGCGUGGGGAUCGAACAGGAUUAGAUACCCGUGUAGUC